UACGUAGGGGGGCAAGCGUUGUCCGGAUUUAUUGGGCGUAAAGAGCGUGUAGGCGGCCAUACAGGUCAGCUGUGAAAACUCGAGGCUCAACCUCGAGACGUCGGUUGAAACCGUAUGGCUAGAGUCCGGAAGAGGAGAGUGGAAUUCCCGGUGUAGCGGUGAAAUGCGCAGAUAUCGGGGAAGAACACCCGUGGCGAAGGCGGCUCUCUGGGACGGUACUGACGCUGAGACGCGAAAGCGUGGGGAGCGAACAGG
RNAcentral lists this ribosomal RNA (255 nucleotides) under uncultured bacterium. RNAcentral's name for it is "partial 16S ribosomal RNA". It matches the Rfam family "Bacterial small subunit ribosomal RNA", at positions 524 to 776 of the family's 1533-position model. The record is from RNAcentral.